CCCGACUUAGCUCAGCUGGUAGAGCGGCGGACUGUAGAGGGAAAGUACGGCACGUAAAUACCGCCGUAAUCCGCAGGUCUCUGGUUCAAAUCCGGAAGUCGGGA
Molecule: transfer RNA, 104 nt
Filed under: Cuniculiplasma sp. C_DKE
Lineage: Archaea; Methanobacteriati; Thermoplasmatota; Thermoplasmata; Thermoplasmatales; Cuniculiplasmataceae
Rfam family: tRNA
About the family: Transfer RNA (tRNA) molecules are approximately 80 nucleotides in length. Their secondary structure includes four short double-helical elements and three loops (D, anti-codon, and T loops). Further hydrogen bonds mediate the characteristic L-shaped molecular structure. tRNAs have two regions of fundamental functional importance: the anti-codon, which is responsible for specific mRNA codon recognition, and the 3' end, to which the tRNAs corresponding amino acid is attached (by aminoacyl-tRNA synthetases). tRNAs cope with the degeneracy of the genetic code in two manners: having more than one tRNA (with a specific anti-codon) for a particular amino acid; and 'wobble' base-pairing, i.e. permitting non-standard base-pairing at the 3rd anti-codon position.
Source: Rfam by way of RNAcentral